Gallus gallus (chicken) is the source of this 2106-nucleotide long non-coding RNA. The record is from Ensembl. NCBI's taxonomy places the organism in Eukaryota, Metazoa, Chordata, Aves, Galliformes, Phasianidae.
GCCUUUCCUUCUCCUUGCUCCUUCCCUGCUAGUACAGUGGAAGCAGAUGUGUUUGCCUUUUACAGUGUUUGUUAUCAAGCUCCAACUGAGUAUGCUGAAUCACAGUGCUGCCUGAACAACCCAGUCUGAAAUACCAUGCUGCCCAUUUGGGAGAGAGAGGAAGCCCAGAUUUUGAGCUGGUGGUCAGAAAACAGGAGACACAGCAUGCCUGGUAGGCUGCACUGCAGUACGAAUCAAGCUUCACGGGUGCUGUCAGCCAUGCACAGCUCCUCCCAGCCAGUCUUGGGACCAAGAGAACAAAUAAAGCCUGUAAACUUCACCUCCCCAGAAACCGAUUUCCAUAUCCACUGAAUGACUUGCUAGCAACAUUAUGGCAAACUGGAUGUGUCCGGUACCUGUCUGCUCAGCACACGUGAUUAACCAACCUGUUCCUUAAUUUCUGCAACAUUUGGAAUGACAGUGCAUUCAGAGAGGAGGGUAAACAAAGCAACAGUUCCCUUUUUCCUCCCUUGAAGACUGUGUAGUGGCCCAUUUUACUGCAAAAACUCUGACCCUUUUAGCAGCCAAACAGAAAUCCAUCUAUCUGAAGCACCUGUAAAUGGCCUUGUCUCAGAGGAACUCUUGGUACAUGAAGCUGAGGACUGCUACUACUGUGAGCUGCAGCUGCCACUUCUCUUGCAAUUCAUAGUUACAAAUGCUCUCCUGAAAAUGGACACUUAAGCCAUUCCUUUCUCACAAAAUACAGACAAGAUCCUCUCCAACAUUCUUGGAGCUCUCACUUGAGGUCUAGACUUCCAAUCCUUCAAAAGUCUGAAGGUAUAUUUUUGACCUCUGCUCUUCCCUAUUUGGAACAAAAUCUUCAGCACUGUGGCCAAGAAUAGAAGCGGCAUUGCUCAGCUCCCAGUUCUAUACUUCAGCCACUGGAUGAUGCUUCCUAACUCCUGACACAGAAAAACUCCUGACACAGAAAAUCACGCAUCUUAAAUACUUACCGUAAUAGAGGAGAUAAUUGGAGAAAGUUGUGGACAAAACUGGGAAAAAAACUUCCUGCAACUGAGAGAUUGAGAAGACAAGAAGACAGAGUUCAGCUGCUGGUCACGCCCUAGAUGGAUGACUCUAGCUCAUUUCCCACAUUUUACAGCGACUGUAAAGAAUGUUUGCUCUCUUUGGUUCUUGAUGUGUUUUAACUGUUUCAACUGCAAGCUUUUUGGGGCAGAGUCUAUUGCUGAUUAUGUUUUUCCACUGUUCAUGAAACUCAGCAAUGACAUAUCUUGAGACUAAACAAAACUCUGUUUUUAUGUCUAAAGGGAUGUCUAUUAUUAAUACUUAUUAAUGUCUAAAGGGAGAAUUCAAUGAAAACAAUCAGGCCCUUUUCAGCGGUGCCCAGUGCCAGUUCAAGAGGCCGCGGACACAGACUGGAACACUAGAGAACACACACUGACUUCUGUGCUGUGUGGAUGACAGAGCACUGGCACAAGCUGCCCAGAGGCUGUGGAGUCUCCUCCUUGAAGAACUUCAAAAGCUGCCUGGACAUAAGCCUGGGCAACCUCCUCUGGGUGUUCCUGCUGGAGCAAGGAUUGGGCCAGAUGAGCUCCAGAGGACUCUUCUCAUCCCAUCCAUGAUGUGAUUUUGUGAUCUUUCUCCAUAUAACAAUUAAGUUCUGUUAAAGACCACUUUCCUGAGCACUCAGCACAUUACUUGUACAUUUGGAAAUCACCAGAAUGCUACAAGAAAAUAUAAUAUAGAUGUAAAACGUGAGUCAAGUGGCUAAAAGGCUAUUAGAGAAAUACUAAACACUGCUGGAACUGUUUCCAAUCAGUCUUACCUUUCAAAAUAUUCUGCUCUUCUUUUGAUACUGCAUGUGAACUUCUUUGACAGCUUUUGCAGUUCAGCUAAAAAAAGUCAUCACUGUGAGAAAAUACUGCACAUGGUGAAGGUACAGUAAUACUGAAGGAAUGUAGAUCUUUUUUUCUCACACAAAUAACCUUCAUAGUUUUAAUUAUGACAUUAGUAGGAUUAUUUAUGUAAGAGAGAAGCUAGGUUGGCAUAUGAACUUAAGAAUUGCACUCACAUUGUAAAAGGGCAAUAAAAAGGACAUUUAAGAUU